RNAcentral lists this unclassified non-coding RNA (295 nucleotides) under fungal sp. RNAcentral's name for it is "partial internal transcribed spacer region". The stretch from base 1 to 45 matches the Rfam family "Eukaryotic small subunit ribosomal RNA", at positions 1787 to 1831 of the family's 1831-position model. Lineage: Eukaryota; Fungi. The record is from RNAcentral.
AGUCGUAACAAGGUUUCCGUAGGUGAACCUGCGGAAGGAUCAUUGUCGUGACCCUGACCAAAAAAGACCGUGAAACCGUCAUCUAGCCCGCCAGCAGCAGCCAUGCCGUUGCUUGGCCAAAUUCCUCGAGAACCUCCCCUCCUUGGAGUGGUGGCUCGGGGUAAAAGAACCCACGGCGCCAAAGGCGUCAAGGAACACUGUGCCUUACCCGGGGUGUGGCUGGCUUGCUAGCCGUGCCCCGUGUUGCAAUGCUAUAUAAUCCACACGACUCUCGGCAACGGAUAUCUCGGCUCUC